Molecule: ribosomal RNA, 498 nt
Filed under: uncultured bacterium
Lineage: Bacteria
Description: partial 16S ribosomal RNA
Rfam family: Bacterial small subunit ribosomal RNA
Source: RNAcentral
GAUGAACGCUGGCGGCGUGCUUAACACAUGCAAGUCGAACGAAGCACUUUAACUUGAUUUCUUCGGAAAGAUUGUCAUUGUGACUGAGUGGCGGACGGGUGAGUAACGCGUGGGUAACCUGCCUCAUACAGGGGGAUAACAGUUGGAAACGACUGCUAAUACCGCAUAAGCGCACGGUAUCGCAUGAUACAGUGUGAAAAACUCCGGUGGUAUGAGAUGGACCCGCGUCUGAUUAGCUAGUUGGCGGAGUAACGGCCCACCAAGGCAACGAUCAGUAGCCGACCUGAGAGGGUGACCGGCCACAUUGGGACUGAGACACGGCCCAAACUCCUACGGGAGGCAGCAGUGGGGAAUAUUGCACAAUGGGCGAAAGCCUGAUGCAGCGACGCCGCGUGAACGAUGAAGUAUUUCGGUAUGUAAAGCUCUAUCAGCAGGGAAGAAGAAUGACGGUACCUGACUAAGAAGCACCGGCUAAAUACGUGCCAGCCGCCGCCGUAA